GAGACUGGGCUAUCUACUGAUCCGAGGUCACCUUAGAAAAUAAAGUUGGGUGUCGGCUGGCGCCGGCCGGGCCUACAGAGCAGGUGACAAAGCCCCAUACGCUCGAGGACCGGACGCGGUGCCGCCGCUGCCUUUCGGGCCCGUCCCCCGGGAGAGGGGGACGGGGGCCCAACACACAAGCCGUGCUUGAGGGCAGCAAUGACGCUCGGACAGGCAUGCCCCCCGGAAUACCAGGGGGCGCAAUGUGCGUUCAAAGACUCGAUGAUUCACUGAAUUCUGCAAUUCACAUUACUUAUCGCAUUUCGCUGCGUUCUUCAUCGAUGCCGGAACCAAGAGAUCCGUUGUUGAAAGUUUUAACUGAUUACGAUAAUCAACUCAGACUGCAUACUUUCAGAACAGCGUUCAUGUUGGGGUCUUCGGCGGGCGCGGGCCCGGGGGCGCAAGGCCUCCCCGGCGGCCGUCGAAACGGCGGGCCCGCCGAAGCAACAAGGUACGAUAGACACGGGUGGGGAGGUUGGACCCAGAGGGCCCUCACUCGGUAAUGAUCCUUCCGCAGGUCAACCCUACCAAAAAUAUUUUUUUUUUU
This 586-nucleotide unclassified non-coding RNA is filed under the name Aspergillus fumigatus. Its description in RNAcentral is "sequence contains ITS1, 5.8S rRNA gene and ITS2". Lineage: Eukaryota; Fungi; Ascomycota; Eurotiomycetes; Eurotiales; Aspergillaceae. The record is from RNAcentral.